UACGAACUGUGCGAACGUUAUCCGGAUUCACUGGGUUUAAAGGGUGCGUAGGAGGGCAGGUAAGUCAGUGGUGAAAUCUCCAAGCUUAACUUGGAAACUGCCGUUGAUACUAUCUGUCUUGAAUAUUGUGGAGGUGAGCGGAAUAUGUCAUGUAGCGGUGAAAUGCUUAGAUAUGACAUAGAACACCAAUUGCGAAGGCAGCUCACUACACAAUCAUUGACUCUGAGGCACGAAAGCGUGGGGAUCAAACAGG
Molecule: ribosomal RNA, 253 nt
Filed under: uncultured bacterium
Lineage: Bacteria
Description: partial 16S ribosomal RNA
Rfam family: Bacterial small subunit ribosomal RNA
Source: RNAcentral